RNAcentral lists this unclassified non-coding RNA (871 nucleotides) under uncultured Synechococcus sp. RNAcentral describes it as "partial may contain 16S ribosomal RNA, 16S-23S ribosomal RNA intergenic spacer, and 23S ribosomal RNA". The stretch from base 347 to 419 matches the Rfam family "tRNA". The record is from RNAcentral. Lineage: Bacteria; Bacillati; Cyanobacteriota; Cyanophyceae; Synechococcales; Synechococcaceae.
GUCGAAGGUGGGGCUGAUGACUGGGGUGAAGUCGUAACAAGGUAUCCGUACCGGAAGGUGCGGAUGGAUCACCUCCUAACAGGGAGACAAAACAAUGAUUUUGAUGUCUGAGUAUUUCAUUCUUAGGCCGAAAUCCUGUCACCUUAGGUCGAUCGGUACCUCAACAUUUUUCCAAAGAUUGGUGAGCAAUCAUCAAGAGAUUGGAAGGGAUGUUCAGUUCCUAAACUUUGUCUAGGUCACACCCCGCAAGGGAAGAGUCCCCUGGGCCAUUAGCUCAGGUGGUUAGAGCGCACCCCUGAUAAGGGUGAGGUCCCUGGUUCAAGUCCAGGAUGGCCCAUUCGGUGUUGGGGGUUUAGCUCAGUUGGUAGAGCGCCUGCUUUGCAAGCAGGAUGUCAGGAGUUCGAGUCUCCUAACCUCCACUGACAGAACUCAAUCUCCAUUGUCCGGUAACUCGGAGGAUGAACUCAAAGGUGUGUGAUUUAGAUGUGUCCACUAGAUAGGACCCUAGCUUCCUGUCAUUCCGAACAAGUGAUUAUUGCUUGAUUGGCUGAUAUGAUGCUGGGCUCAAAUUAAUCAAAAGAUUAAUUUGAUCUCUAGUAGAACCUUGACAACUGCAUAAGUAAGUCUGGAAAAACGAAGCAUCUUACAGAUGCAUUGUUUUAAGUCUGAAUUCUCGAAAGAGAGUUUGGAUCUAGAAUGAUGAAAAUUCUUUUAAGCAAGAGCCGAGACUCUUAGAUGUUCUUUUUAUCGUGUCGAGCGAUAAAGAGUUUGAUUUUGUUUUUAUGAGCAGCGAAAGUUGCUGAUGAAACCAGAAGAAUCUGCUUUCAACCGCAGUAAGCGUUUAAGAGGUUAAUUGGUCAAGCUACAAAGG